Molecule: long non-coding RNA, 1629 nt
Filed under: Chrysemys picta bellii (western painted turtle)
Lineage: Eukaryota; Metazoa; Chordata; Testudines; Emydidae
Description: lncRNA (ENSCPBG00000028014.1)
Source: RNAcentral
GGCCCCACCCACCCCGCGGCGGCAGCAGCGGCAGCUCCGGAGCUGCAGGUGGCGCCGUGUGCCCCGAUCCCAGAACUGGGCGGGCCCUGCCGGCUCCGCGCUCUGAGGGUGCCGGGCGGGACUGCCGCGGCGCGUCCCCGGAGCUCUGGCUGCCUGAGCCGGGAGAGCGAGUGCUAGGCGGCCCGGCGGAGCGGGGCCCGGCAUGGGGCUCUGCCUGCCCUGCUUGGGGGGAGCCGCCGAGGACGUGGUGGAGACGCCCGACCCGGAAAUUAAAAGAAGACAACUUGCAGAAGCCGCAGAAAAGAGGCAGAUGGAGUGGCAGGUUGGAUAAAGAAGUGUGGCAUCUGAAAAGAAGAGGAUCAAAUACUGCCAAUAACUUGCCAGUUUCUGCAGCUGAGUGGCACUUAUUCAUUGUGUGGCUUUUGCUGUUUGCAUAUGAAGAUUCAACAGUACUUUGCCAUUGCAGUACAACAGAGGUGUAUGCUAAGAAUAUUUUUCACACAAAAGUCUCAGAAUGCAAAACAAAGGUGGCCAAAACUUGUCAUUUUUUAAACUUCUCAUGCUUCAACUUUUGGGUCGGGUGGAGAGUGGGAGAUGCACAGUUAUUUGGGAAUGAACUUAGUAUUUAAUGGUGAUAAAGUGACUAUAUUAUAUUUCUGCUCUUGAAACUAACUUAUGCACAGCUUGGGUAACUUUUAGUGUGUGGGUUUUUCUUUUUGUUUUAGCAUUUAUUUAAAGUUUUGUUGAACUUUGCCUCUUUGUAAAAAAAAAAAAAAAGAAGUUAUCUUCUCUAGAUACUUGUGCUGCUAUCCAUCUCUUCUGUGCUAAUUAUUGGUUAAUUACCUGUGAAUUUAGUGCCUUUAAAAGGCUUUUGGAAAAGCUUGGCUUCUGCAAAUUGAAAUUUUGUGAAAUGUGCUGUAAAAAAAAAAUCACUUUAAAUUAUAAUUGCUUUACAUGCUUUUAUUGAGGUAAAUAUUUUGUGGUCUUAUGCCCAUUCUCUUUUCAUUGAUUCGCCAAUUAUGGAUUUCUUUUGAGUACAUAAUUAUAUUAUAAUAUGUACUGGAAGUUAAUGCUAUUAGCUAAACUAAACAUUGUUGGCUAUUUUGUUUUUUUGCACCACAAGGGGGCAGUGUUGUACUUCUGGAAAUAUAUUAAAAAAUAGAAAAGGAAAAGACCUAUUAGGUCAUCUCUUGGAUAGUUUAUUUCCUGAAAGCUUCUGUACUACCUGGGUGGCUUAACUAUAUAUAGUACAAUAAUAUUUGCCAAGUGCUAGAAGCACUUUUACUGCUCUUUUGUAUCAAGGAAUGUCUGUAAUCCUUUUCCAAAUGUGAAACUGCUUUUGAUUAUUUACAGCUAACUAAACUGGUGUAUUAUGAACUGAUUCCAAAACUAGAAGUGACCUCAGAACACUACUGAGUAGAUGAGGGAAUUUAGAAGUGAUCCUGUUCCAGUAAAAAUACAACUUUUAUUUUCCCUGGAGGGCACUAUGUUUGGCCUAUUAUUGUCCUAGUGACUCCAUUUUUGACGCAGGUUGGACUGUGGAAGUGUUACUUGGAUUAAAUACACUAUCUUUUCCCCUUGAAUCCAAAACUAUCAUCUUAAGUCCACUUUCUUGAAAGAACUAGCUUC